This 403-nucleotide ribosomal RNA is filed under the name uncultured bacterium. RNAcentral's name for it is "partial 16S ribosomal RNA". It matches the Rfam family "Bacterial small subunit ribosomal RNA", at positions 28 to 526 of the family's 1533-position model. The record is from RNAcentral.
GACGAACGCUGGCGGCGUGCCUAAUACAUGCAAGUCGAACGCAGUGGGGACGGGUGAGUAACACGUGGGUAACCUACCAUCAGAGGGGAUACCACUUGGAAACAGGUGCUAAACCGAUACUGAUGGAUGGACCCGCGGUGCAUUAGCUAGUUGGUGGGGUAACGGCUCACCAAGGCCAUGAUGCAUAGCCGACCUGGGGGGGUGAUCGGCCACACUGGGACUUGGACAGGGCCCAGACUCCUACGGGAGGCAGCAGUAGUGAAUCUUCGGCAAUGGACGAAAGUCUUACCGAGCAACGCCGCGUUAGUGAAGAGGGUUUGCGGAGCGUAAAACUCUUUUGUUGGAGAAGCGGUAUCUAACCAGAAAGCCACGGCUAACUACGUGCCAGCAGCCGCGGUAAUAC